GACGAACGCUGGCGGCGUGCCUAAUACAUGCAAGUAGAACGCUGAAGGAGGAGCUUGCUUCUCUGGAUGAGUUGCGAACGGGUGAGUAACGCGUAGGUAACCUGCCUGGUAGCGGGGGAUAACUAUUGGAAACGAUAGCUAAUACCGCAUAACAGUAGAUAUCGCAUGAUAUCUACUUGAAAGGUGCAAUUGCAUCACUACCAGAUGGACCUGCGUUGUAUUAGCUAGUUGGUGAGGUAACGGCUCACCAAGGCGACGAUACAUAGCCGACCUGAGAGGGUGAUCGGCCACACUGGGACUGAGACACGGCCCAGACUCCUACGGGAGGCAGCAGUAGGGAAUCUUCGGCAAUGGACGGAAGUCUGACCGAGCAACGCCGCGUGAGUGAAGAAGGUUGUCGGAUCGUAAAGCUCUGUUGUAAGAGAAGAACGAGUGUGAGAAUGGAAAGUUCACACUGUGACGGUAUCUUACCAGAAAGGGACGGCUAACUACGUG
This 495-nucleotide ribosomal RNA is filed under the name uncultured bacterium. Its description in RNAcentral is "partial 16S ribosomal RNA". It matches the Rfam family "Bacterial small subunit ribosomal RNA", at positions 28 to 507 of the family's 1533-position model. The record is from RNAcentral.